RNAcentral lists this long non-coding RNA (241 nucleotides) under Homo sapiens (human). RNAcentral describes it as "HSALNT0034215". Lineage: Eukaryota; Metazoa; Chordata; Mammalia; Primates; Hominidae. The record is from RNAcentral.
GGAUGGAUCACGAGGUCAGGAAUUCAAGACCAGCCUGACCAAGAUGGUGAAACCCUGUCUCUACUAAAACUACAAAAAUUAGCCAGGCGCAGUGGCAGGCGCCUAUAAUCCCAGCUACUCGGGAGGCUGAGGCAGGAGAAUCACUUGAACCCAGGUGGCAGAGGUUGCAGUGAGCCAAGAUCACGCCGCUGCAUUCCAGCCUCGGCAACAGAGUGAGACUCCAUCUCAAACAAACAAACAA